Molecule: non-coding RNA, 1928 nt
Organism: Lolium perenne
Lineage: Eukaryota; Viridiplantae; Streptophyta; Magnoliopsida; Poales; Poaceae
Source: RefSeq, a predicted model, not a curated record
CGCCAAGGUCCAGCCCGCCCAGCCAUCCCUGGCUUCCCGCUCUUUUCCCCUUCACUUCGCCCAGAGCCUUCUAGAACCUUCCGUUCCACCCGGAGCCAUCGCCAUGGCCGCCGCCUCCUCCUCCUCCUCCGCCCGGUGCUUCCCCCUCCUCCACGAGACCCUCCUUCUAUCCUUCAAGCCGCGGGUCUUCCCCGACUGUUUGCUCGAGAUCGACGCGAAGCGCACCGACCCGGCCGCGCCCAUCAUCGUGGCGGCGUUCGAGGGCGACAUCCCCACGAUGAAGAGGCUGGCGAAGCAGAGGAAAAGGGAGGGGGGGAGCGUGGAGGCGGUGGAGGGUAUCAAGGGCUCCCAGAGCAGCAGGCGCCUCGGGGCGCUCCAUGUGGCCGCCUUCGCCGGGAAGCACAAGAUGUGCAAGUUCCUCAUCAAGGAUCUCCGCCUCGACGUCAACGCGGCCGCUGAGCAUGGGAGGUACUUGUGUUUACGUCACAAAAGUUCCGCGGAUAGUUGGUUUCUUGAAAAUGGAUAGUUGGUUUCUUGAAAAUAGGAACAUUCGAGGUACAUGAAAGUAGAGACCAAUGAUGGAAGUGUGAGUAAUUAAUGUUCAUUGGGCUUCGUUUUAUUUUUGUGCAUUACUCACUUGUGGUACCUGCUUGUGCCACUUUCUAGUAUGUAUUUUGCAGGUUCAGUCGCUCUUGGUUACGUAUCCCACUUUUGGUCGGAAGAAAGAAUGGGUGGUCAUUUUGACAAAGUUUUUAUCAUAUCUUGUGCUCUUGCUAGGUUUAUCACCUCUGAUAUGUGCAAUAUACGGUAUUGCGCCUAAAAGAAUUGUGGAGCUUCUACUUGAUCGUGGUGCUAAUCCAAACAUAGAAAACAGGGAAGGGUUUACCGUGCUCCAUGUUCUUGCAACAAAGAAAGCUCUAUUUUUUCCAGAUCUCUUUGGAAUAGCAGAUAUAUUGUUAUCCAGAGGGGCCAAUGUUGACUCUAUGAGCUCAGAAGGAACACCACUACAUAUUGCUGCUCAGUGUGGAAAUGUGGAAAUGAUGGAAGUACUGUUGAAGUAUAAGGCAAAUGUAUUGAUUUCCUUCUUUCCAUCUCUUCUACGCUCUCUUUCUGGUAAUGUUCGGUAUAGUUUAUACAGUCUUAUAUCAUGAUAAAGAGAAGUCGUGGCCAAAAGGUAUUUACCUCAAGGAACUUUCCUAAUCCUGCAUACUUGGUGGAAUAUAUGCUAUUUUUACCUCCUUGACCAAACUAAGCUAGGGCUCUCUUUUAUUUGCUGGCUCUAGUCUUGUGUCUUUUAUGUUCUUUUCUUGUUUUACCAUUCAUCAUUUGUUCAUGGGUCUUUUGUUCUUCCCUUGCUUAAAAUGUUUUAGAUUCUUGAUGAAUGCCAGAUCGGGGUCAGACCAAGUUCCAGUUUAAUCCACUGUCCAUGUUGAUGGGGCUCACUUCUCCCGAUCUAGCCCGUAUAACUGCUUAAUUGAUAUUCUGACUUCUGAGUGUUGAUGCUGGGUCGUUGCAACUUUGCACACAACGUACUCGAAUGCUAGCAAAUAUCAAUCGGCGGCGAUAACUGAUAACGGCAACAUAUGACCUUCCUUAAGUUACCUUGAUUCUUUUGCAGUCUCUUAGAUCCUUCAUCUGAUGGAUCUAGUGGUAAUAAUUACAUGAGGGCCUUUGCUACUGAACACUGGAAUAUCUUUCCAAAAAUAUAUUGGGUGCAUACUCUUAUGUCCAACGAUUCAUUUGGAAAAGAAAAUUAAAGCACAUGACUUCCUUUGCACCUAUAGCUUUGUCUGGAAAAAUAACUAAAGUACGUCAAACGGUGGUUUUAGUAAUUUCUGUAUUUGGUCUGCUAAUGAUUGCACAAUAAAGAGCUGAUAGUUUAUUAUUCUUCGUUGACUACCGUGUUAUUAUUUCUCUGCAAGUAAUGU